RNAcentral lists this ribosomal RNA (491 nucleotides) under uncultured bacterium. RNAcentral describes it as "partial 16S ribosomal RNA". It matches the Rfam family "Bacterial small subunit ribosomal RNA", at positions 28 to 507 of the family's 1533-position model. The record is from RNAcentral.
GAUGAACGCUGGCUACAGGCUUAACACAUGCAAGUCGAGGGGAAACGACGGGGAAGCUUGCUUCCCCGGGCGUCGACCGGCGCACGGGUGAGUAACGCGUAUCCAACCUGCCUCUGACUGAGGGAUAACCCGUCGAAAGUCGGCCUAAUACCUCAUGGCAUCGUCUGCGGGCAUCCAACGACGAUUAAAGAUUUCAUCGGUCAGGGAUGGGGAUGCGUCUGAUUAGCUUGUUGGCGGGGUAACGGCCCACCAAGGCUACGAUCAGUAGGGGUUCUGAGGGGAAGGUCCCCCACAUUGGAACUGAGACACGGUCCAAACUCCUACGGGAGGCUGCAGUGAGGAAUAUUGGUCAAUGGGCGGGAGCCUGAACCAGCCAAGUAGCGUGCAGGAUGACGGCCCUAUGGGUUGUAAACUGCUUUUAUGCGGGGAUAAAGUGAGGGACGUGUCCUUCAUUGCAGGUACCGCAUGAAUAAGGACCGGCUAAUUCCGUG